AGGGUUCGAUUAUGGCUCAGGACGAACGCUGGCGGCGUGCUUAACACAUGCAAGUCGAACGGGGCUACUAUGAUGGAGUUUUCGGACAACUGAUUAGUAUGCCUAGUGGCGGACGGGUGAGUAACGCGUGAGUAACCUGCCUUUCAGAGGGGGACAACAGCUGGAAACGGCUGCUAAUACCGCAUAAUAUAUACAGGUCGCAUGAUUUGUAUAUCAAAGAUUUAUCGCUGGAAGAUGGACUCGCGUCUGAUUAGCUAGUUGGCGGGGUAACGGCCCACCAAGGCGACGAUCAGUAGCCGGACUGAGAGGUUGAACGGCCACAUUGGGACUGAGAUACGGCCCAG
This 344-nucleotide ribosomal RNA is filed under the name uncultured bacterium. RNAcentral's name for it is "bacterial SSU rRNA". It matches the Rfam family "Bacterial small subunit ribosomal RNA", at positions 8 to 334 of the family's 1533-position model. The record is from RNAcentral.